Molecule: ribosomal RNA, 232 nt
Filed under: uncultured bacterium
Lineage: Bacteria
Description: partial 16S ribosomal RNA
Rfam family: Bacterial small subunit ribosomal RNA
Source: RNAcentral
GAUCCUGGCUCAGGAUGAACGCUAGCUACAGGCUUAACACAUGCAAGUCGAGGGGAAACGACAUCGAAAGCUUGCUUUUGAUGGGCGUCGACCGGCGCACGGGUGAGUAACGCGUAUCCAACCUGCCCAUCACUUGGGAAUAACCUUGCGAAAGUAAGACUAAUGCCCAAUGAUAUCUCUAGAAGACAUCUGAAAGAGAUUAAAGAUUUAACGGUGAUGGAUGGGGAUGCGU